AAAGGCAAUUAAGGUGGCUUUUUUUUUCCUCUCUCCUUAAAACAUUUACACGUUCUCCUUAUUUUCAGCAGUAAUUUCUUUCUAGAAUAAAGGAAACUAUCUCUCCAUUUAAACCGGUAGAGAUUCUCCCAGGUUUAAAAAGGCGUUAAUAUUAGCCAUCUAACACAUUGUUGCUACUUUGAGCUUUCAAGAUCUUUGUUCACCAAAACCGGAGCAUCUCUUUCCAUCUUUGCAAAUAACUGGAAAUGACUUUUCCAGGUCACACUUGCAAUAUUUCUCUGUCCUGAGUGGAAGGUGUGACCAUCUGAGAGCUAAAAUGCUGGAGAAUGGGGAGUACCUUCCCAGAAUACUGGAGAUCCAGUUCCAUUAUAUAAGCAAGGUUGCAGAAGCAUUUCUCACCACUGAUGCUGCUGGGCGAAAGAAAUGAACGUGAUUGAUUAUGACUUUGAUACACCUGAGGAACAGAGAAAAUUCAGUAAACAUCUCUGUGUUUCUGUCUGUCAACAGGAUAGAGGAAUGAAGGGAGUCCAAAUGUCAGUGUGCAUGACUUUUUCUGUUUGGAUGGAUGGGACUUCUGAUCUGACACACCUGUUCCAGUAUCCUGGGCCCAUAAUCAAGUCUUUUUUCUGCGUAAUCAAGAGAGCGGUUAAACAGCUGAGAGUCAUAAAAGAACAGGAAGAAUUUUAAGAUGCAGAGAAAUUAAAUUUGCUCCAGUUUUCAAAGGAUUAAUCCAGCCCUCAUCUCUCCUUUGACAUCUCUUGGCUACAUCCAAAUAGUCGUCUGCCUGUUCUUCCUCCACAAAAUAUGAAGGGAUGUUACUUGGGCUACCUCAUUCCCUGCCGGUUGCUAAUGGAAAAUAGUACUGCUGUGCAGGGAGACUUGUUUUAUAGGUGUUUUUCUUCUAUCUGGUUUUACAGUUCUCUACCGCCACUGUUCAGCAUUCCCUGGAUUGCUCUGCCGUUCUCUGGCCAUCCAUAUAUGUUUUGCAAACUGAGUGACACAAAGGCCUCUAAAAAAGGAAACACCUCUCACGAAACACUUUGCACUGUUCAUUGCUAUUUCUCUUAAGACAGGAGAACGGUUGCCUCCUAUCACCCUUAAGUUCCAUUUAAAAGCUGGUCAAUCCUACUGGAUACACCAGCCUUCCACUGCUCAGUCCUGGUGCCCGCAUAAGGACAGCUUUACAAAAUGAGUACUCCCUUUUCCCCUGCUAGGGCUUGACACACACUUGUAAGAUUAACAGCUAUGGAAUCUAGUGUUGUUUUAUUUUGUCGUCAGUUUUCAGUGAUAUCAUAGUCUUUUCAUUCCAGCACCUUUCACUUCCCAGUCCUUAAACUAAUACACUGAUCCCUAUUACUAAACAAACCAGACUAUAUCACCACCUUUUAAGCUGAGAUGUAGUUUUUCCUCUGUCCUCCUCCUUGUACAUACACUAGGCUGUGCAUAAACAGCAAAGCACAAGAACUUUACAGCAAGCAGUUCCAAGUCUAACUAGGGCCUAGAGUAGUGCCUACCUGAUAGCUGUGUAUAAUUUGAAGAACACUAACUGCAGAAUUUGCAAGUAUUUGAUUUAAAGAAUCUUAUAUUUUUAUUAGUUUUGCAGACUGACCAAAUAUGUUGUACUAUGGUUGAUUUUAUUGUGUAGCUACAUGGCUCUAUGCCCAUUGACUUCAAGCAAUUACAGCACUACUGCUGGAUCACAACAGUGCUAGACUGAAAGAACCACAGUAUGAAAUUUGCAACUACAGUUUAAUCUACUUUAAAAAUAUGAAAUCUAGUAUAGUUAAUAUGCCUAUCUUAAACUAAAAACUUUACCUGGAGAAAAUAAGUAGGUAUUUUUCAGUGCUCUGAUACUGACCUUAUUUUGAAUCAAUAACUCUCUGAUUAUUUUGCACAAAAACAACCAACCAAAAAAAAAAAAAACCAACACAAAACUCCGCUUAACUUAGUAGCAAUGGAGAAACGCAAGUCCAAAGAGAAAAAGCUCUGCCUCAAAUCUGAAGAACAGAAUUGAGAAUCCAUUCUUUUUUCCCCCACCUCUCAACAGAAGUCUGGGCUAGAAUUCUCUCUCUUAUACUUUAUUUAAAGGCCUCUCUGCUCUAUUUGUUUUUCUAGCAUACUGUCCGUAUGGUAAAAACUGUGUGGAAAAAAUAUAGAGAAGAAAGAAUUUGAACAUUACAGGGAAAGGUAUUUGAAAAAAAAAAAAAAUAACAUCUACACAAAACACGAUACAGUUGUGCUGUCUGUUGGGAUUUACCCAUGACUGUCCUUAGAGCCAAGAAAUACCAGAAGAGAGAUACUAUAGCUGGUAUUUGAAAAACUUCACGUACUCUCAGAAAGAUGCAUAUGAAAACAAUGAAAUUGGAAGCUUUUUUUUUUUUUUUUUUUUUAAAUAGGAAGCAGAUUGCCAUUUGGAAAAAUUGCAGUGAGGUUAUUCCAUGUUUCAAUUUCUCUUUGGGUGAUGGGAGGAAAAGUUCACCUUGAAAACCAGAGAGUUUUACAGCAGAAACAGAAGACAGCAGAAAGAACUGAUGUGACAGCUCAGUCUAACAGAAACAAACCCGCCUAUUCCCCUCAGAAACUGCUAGUAAGACAUAAUGCAGUGUCUGCCAGUGAACUGAAUCACUUUAACAUGACUCUCACAUGUCAUUUAUUAAGCUAAAUAGACAUAAAACUGCAAAUAUCAAAUUGCCUCUAUGUGGUAAUACACAAAAAUGAGAAUUAAAUGCAACUUCCCAUCCUGCUCCUGCCUUACAAAUAUUUAUCAGCCAAGAGAAUGAUCUACAAAAGCUUUUUUUUUUUUCAUUCUGCAAAUAUCACAAUAAGACAUUAACCCUUUUAUCACAACAUGCGCAAUAUGCCUUACUAGUACAAUUUCUUCUCUGAAAGAAGAAAGGGCCACAUAACUUUCUCUGCCCAGAUACAACACUGUAUGACAAAAGCCUGGAGGGACUGGGGAUACCCCUUAUCAACACCAUUUUUUUGAGGCUUACAAUUUAUAUGGGAUUUUUUGUUUUUAUUUUGUUUGGUUUUUUUGCUGUUCUGUUUGUUUGUUAUUUACUAAGUUUCCUGGACAAGGAAUGCAUCGGUUUUAAUAAUGCACAUACUAUUGCAAUAUAUAAUUAUCACUAUGAAUAUUGAAAUCUUAACAGUAAUCUGCAGUUAGAGCAUUUUCAGAAGAUACAAAAUCAAAUAAAAGUGUAAUUUCUCUCAAUAAAGAGUGAUUUAUUAUUACCCAGAUUGUGCAGUAGUCAAUUUUACUCAGUUUUACCCGCAAAAGAUGCUAGUGUCUACCUGUUCAGAACACACGCUCCUGCACUUUGAUGUUUUUAAGCAUAUAACUGUAAAUAUAGGAUUUUCCAGCAGUAACUUGGAUGCAAACUUCAGUGAGGAAAAAAAUAAAUUCAG
This is a long non-coding RNA of Gallus gallus (chicken), 3408 nucleotides long. Lineage: Eukaryota; Metazoa; Chordata; Aves; Galliformes; Phasianidae. The record is from Ensembl.